Molecule: ribosomal RNA, 467 nt
Filed under: uncultured bacterium
Lineage: Bacteria
Description: partial 16S ribosomal RNA
Rfam family: Bacterial small subunit ribosomal RNA
Source: RNAcentral
ACGAACGCUGGCGGCGUGCUUCACACAUGCAAGUCGAACGGAAAGGCCCUGCUUUUGUGGGGUGCUCGAGUGGCGUACGGGUGAGUAACACGUGAGUAACCUGCCCUUGACUUUGGGAUAACUUCAGGAAACUGGGGCUAAUACCGGAUAGGAGCUCCUGCUGCAUGGUGGGGGUUGGAAAGUUUCGGCGGUUGGGGAUGGACUCGCGGCUUAUCAGCUUGUUGGUGGGGUAGUGGCUUACCAAGGCUUUGACGGGUAGCCGGCCUGAGAGGGUGACCGGCCACAUUGGGACUGAGAUACGGCCCAGACUCCUACGGGAGGCAGCAGUGGGGAAUAUUGCACAAUGGGCGGAAGCCUGAUGCAGCAACGCCGCGUGCGGGAUGACGGCCUUCGGGUUGUAAACCGCUUUCGCCUGUGACGAAGCGUGAGUGACGGUAAUGGGUAAAGAAGCACCGGCUAACUACGUG